Phrynosoma platyrhinos (Desert horned lizard) is the source of this 72-nucleotide non-coding RNA. The record is from the annotation of a GenBank genome assembly. NCBI's taxonomy places the organism in Eukaryota, Metazoa, Chordata, Lepidosauria, Squamata, Phrynosomatidae.
GCCAGUGUGGUACAAUGGCUUGAGCAUUGGACCAUAACUCUAGAGACCAGGGUUCAUUUCCCUGCUCGGACA